This is a non-coding RNA of Sorex araneus (European shrew), 74 nucleotides long. Lineage: Eukaryota; Metazoa; Chordata; Mammalia; Eulipotyphla; Soricidae. The record is from the annotation of a RefSeq genome assembly.
AGCCCCAUGGCUUGGUUGGUUAAAGUGCCUGUCUCGUAAACAGGAGAUCCUGAGUUCGAAUCCCAGUGGGGCCU